Molecule: long non-coding RNA, 4656 nt
Filed under: Zostera marina
Lineage: Eukaryota; Viridiplantae; Streptophyta; Magnoliopsida; Alismatales; Zosteraceae
Description: long non-coding RNA (ZMAR_LNC004132)
Source: RNAcentral
GGUGGGACUCCAAGAAGGGGGUAUAUUAGAUAAACAGAGUUAGUUAGAUAACAACUAUAGGUUGUUAGAAUAAUAGUUACAAAUACAAACUAUAAAUAUGUAAUCAUACAAUUGAUAUCUCAAUACAAUUUGGUAAUCUUUCCACCAUCUUAUAAGUUGUUAAUGAGUAAAUUGCUUUUCUGAGAUGGUAUCGGUUGAUUAAGGAAUAGAAAAUUUCACAACUCAUUUUCUUUUUUUCCCACGAUCGUCGUACCCUUCUCUCGUCGUGAUCUCUCCUUCCGACCUAGAUCUAUUCGGUUUUGUCUCGCCGGGAUCUGGUUUUUCCACUGAAGAUUUCAUUGAUUAGGGUUGUUCACUUCCGCGUAUUCGUCGAGAUCUGCAGAUUUGGGUGCUUGUGAUUGGUGGCUUGUUUUUUGACAAUUGUGUGAUGGCAACGAACAAUCCCAAUGAUAGAAUGACUCUCUCCUCCAUGAUGCUUUAUUUAAAUGUCAGGUCUCACAUUGGAUGGAGUUGCGACCUAUCUCUUCUAGAGAAGUCAAAUGGUAAAUUUAUUUCGUUUAAACCAUGUAUACGAUAUUGUCAAUGAAAAACAGGAAAUACCACCUGAAAAGAAGGCUGAUGGUUCACCAAAUCCGACGCAUCAAAUCUGGUUAGAGAAAAAUUGGCCAGUUCUUGGUUGGAUUCAAGCGGCGGUUAGACCGUUAAUGCUUUCUUUAGUGAUGAAUCAUGAAACUGCGUAUGACUGUUGGCAGAAAUUAGAGACACAUUUAUCACCAAGGAAAUCAAGACAUCAAUAAUCCAUCCGUGAUGAGCUUAGAAAUUUAAAGAAGAGAUGAUGAAUCAAUGAGAGACUUUGUUAUCAAAGUAAGAGCAUUGACUGAUUCAUUGGCUGCUGCUGGUGAAGUAGUGAACGACAAGACUAUUAUAGACUUUGUUGUUGAUGGUUUGGGUCCAGAAUUUUGUCCGUUUUGUUCUUCACGUCAUUCACAAUCUAGGCUACUUUAUGAUGAAUUUCUAUAGAUGGUAGUGCAAGAAGAUAGUUACCUUCGAAGAAUGAAUGUAAUUGGGAAUGCAAACAACAUUGAGAUGUCUUCUGCAUUGGUUGCCAACUACAAGAAAAACUAUCUUCAAAACAGAAAUAAAGACUAUAGAUCUUUCAACAAUAACAACGGAACACAUGGACAGAGAAUAUUAUAACAAUAAUAUCAAUGGAAAUCGAAGAUCAUCGGGGAGAUUUUGUAGAGACUCCCGUUAUGUCGCCUUUGAAGAAAAACCUUGUCAGUUAUUUGGUCCUUCACAACAACAAACAAUGAGUCAAAUAUAAAAUAACAGUUAUUAUCCCUGCAAAAUUACUGAACGGAUAAUAAUGGAGUUUUUAGAGAGGAUACGUGCAGAAUAUUACGAAGAAGGAAGUUUGUGGACCCGUUUGUAAAAUUACCAUUCCCCAGAUGUUUAAUUUGGAGAUGAGAGCCAUUACCUAGCUGAGUCGAUCCUGGUCCAUGAUAUGGAAGUAGUGACGAGAUUGACUAAGCGUUCGGGGUAAAGUGAUGUGUUGCACCGGUGUUUGGGUACCACACAGCUAUAUCAUUUUGAUCAAACUCACUUGAGAAGUUUGGAUCGGUGGAAUAAGUGUGAUUUGUUGAGGGUUGCCGUGCAAAUUGUUGAAAUUAGCUUCAAGUGGAUUGGCUUUGGGCUGGUGAGUUUGGCUGAUGGGUUGGAUUGUAAAUGGGAAUAUUUUGAGUGUGGUAGUUAUCAGAGUUAUUUUGAUAAUUAAUUCCUUCUUGAACUUGGGUCACGUAGUUUAAAUUUGGAUUUAUGUUUGAGUUAUUGGGCUGGGCCAUGUAAGGAGAUAGGAUAACUCUAUAUGAACAUUUAUAUGGGGAGUGACCCAUACCCCCACAAACCGGGUACGGGUUACGACGGGGCAAGGCUACCCGUCUUCUCCCAUUUCCAGAUCGUUGGCCGUUACCUCCUCUCCCGUUUCCGCGUCCUCUGUUUCCGGCUGCAAAUCUCGAUGGACUUCCACCAAAAUUUGAGGAAGUCAAAUUCGACAUGGCCCCUACCAGUUGCCUCAUUUUUAUCCGGAUUUGGUGGCUUACCAAGACCUUUAGCAACUCCUCAAAACUCAUCGCCAUUUGCCUAAUCGCAAGUGUUGUCACCGCCUCGCCGUAGUCUGUAGUGAGGUUGUUGUAUACGAUGGCGUUGAAGAUCCCGGUAGGCACUUUAGCAUCGGCCGUCGCUAGUUCAUCGGAGAUUAAUUUUGCUCGCCGGAGAUAGACGUCGACGUCCUCAUCGGAGCUCAUCAAGUUAUUUUGAAGUUGCAUUUGAAGUUGUAAGAUUUUUGACUUCGACGGUCUACUAUAUGCGGAUUUAAGAGUCUCUCAAAUAUCGACGACGGAUUCGAGUCUGACGAUCAUCGAAAGCACCUCCUCGGAGAGUGAAGAUAAGAUCCAACUUACAAGUAGUUGAUCCUUGCAUCACCAUGCCAUAUAGAUUGGGCAUGUUAGAGAGGGAGUCGAUGAAGGGAUCGAUCUAUCGAUCAAGUGAUUCAACCCAAAACAAUUUAGAAGAGGGUUGAAUUGUAUUUUCCAUAGCAAGUAAUUUGUGCUUGAUAGCUUAAUGUGCAAAAAACUUUGAAUGGACCCAAAAGAUGAGGAUUCGGCAAGCACAUUAUGGGAUUGAGUGGGAAACAAUGGUGGAUUAGAACUUCCAACCGCAUUGCUUCCAAAAUUUCCAGCAUUGAACAUCGCCGGAUUGGGCACCGUGGUGCCAGCGAUACCAUGCACCAAGUUGUGGAUUGAAGAACAUCGGAUUGGGCAUUGCAUUGCUGGUGAUGUCACCACUAAGUUGUGGAUUUGUGAGCAACGGAUUUGCCUCAGGAACUCUCUCUGCGAAUGAUACCAUGUUAGAUUGAUGAGAUUCAUCAUCAUUGAAAGGAGGAAUGGAGAUGAUCUUGUGAGCCAUGUAGACGAUGGAUGAAAGGGAAAAAAGGAGAGAAUAAGUUUGAACAAUCAAAAGCUUGUUGUUGCCUCUUUAUUAGGUGUAUAUUUAUAGGGCCAGCUUCUAGCGGGAACCACAUCUGUGAGAACUUUGCAUCUGAAUCUUAUAUCUAGAUCUAAUGGUACUUAUGAAUAUAGUUUAUUAUUUAAAUUAUUUAAGGGUGAAGAUCCCCAUGCACUUCCAUUUUUUUGUCACAGAAAUUUCAACGGUCCAGAUGUGGUUCUCAUAUAGUUCUCACAGAUGUGGUUUUCACUAGAAACGUUCUCUAUAUUUAUAUACACUUAGAGUAACAACCCACUCAUAUUGUAGUGGAGGUUAUUACCAUAAUAUUGGAAUAAUAGAAUAUAAGUAUUAUAUAUUUGGUUAAUUAUAAUAUUUAUAUUCCAAUACAUUGGUCAUCACGAAAAUAGGUCACGGUACGUAGAGAGGUCAAGUACGAAGGAGAAAUACUAUGCAAUCGCGACGACAGUAGAAGAACUUGAGUCAGUUAGAUCGCUUCUUAUAGAGUUAAGAAUCAAGGUUGAAAGACCAAUGAAGAUACUUAACGAUAAUCAAGGAGCAACAUUUGUUGCGAACAACCCAAUUUACCACACUAAACUUCGUCGACAUGUAGCAAUGGACUUGCAUUUCGUCCGGGAGAAAACUGACAAAGGAGAAGUAAAGGUCGAGCAUAUUCCAAGGAUAAAACAGAUGGUGGACAUCCUAACAAAAGCAUUAAACACCAAAUUAUUUUUGGAUCUCAGACUCAAACUUGUUAAUAGCAUUAAACCCCCCCUCCGGGUUUGAGGGGGGCGUGUUAAUAGUAUUAUUAGUAUCACUAAAGAAGCCAAACUAAUUUUGAAAUCGAUUAAUUUAGGUUAGUUGGUUAUCGGUUGAUUAUCAACCAAAGUAGUUAUUGUAAUUCCUAUAUAAAGACAUUAGACUUUAUUAAUAAAACUCACUCAUUUGUUGGAUGUUUACAAUAUAAAGCUUUAAUUGGUUGGAUGUUUAUAAUAUCUAUGUAAUAGUAGACCAGAUAUAACAGAUCCAGUGAAUCAAAUUGUAGAAUUUAUGAAAUGUCUUAGAACAACCCAUAUGGUAUCUGCAAAAAGAGUUUUCAACUUCUCAUACAUAUCAAAAGAACUUUAGGACAUGAGAUUAUCUUUCACAAAUUUAUAGUUAUAAAUUUAAAUACUUUUUAAUUGUGAUGCAGAUUUUGAUAGCGAUUCCAUGAUCGACAAGGAGAUCAAACAUUGGAAUAUAGGAUUUGUUUUCAAAAUCCGUCCUUAAAAGUCUGUUUUCUUGUAGUGAUGUAUUUGUGUUGGAUGCAAUUUAGUACAUUGGCAAUCUAGGAAACUACCUACAUUAAUAUCUAGGUCCGGUGUAGAGAUAGAGUACAUAUCGGACCCUUGCUGAUGCUGCAACAAAUUUAAGGUGGUGUGUUUUCAUAUAUAGUGAUUUGGGACUAAGAGGGCAAUAAUCAUCUAUUGUUUAUUUGUGAUAAUAAUUCAGCUCUUUUUAUGACUUUAAACCCCAUUACUAGAGCUAAAUCUAAGCAUUUUGAUAUUGAUUAUCACUUUGUGAGAGAAUUGGUACACUACAAGAAAAUUAGGCUACAACGAGGGCCUACUUUUCUCGCUAACCUAUGAAAUCCGUCGUUAAUAAUAGUUAGCGAGG